Molecule: transfer RNA, 74 nt
Filed under: Bacteroidota bacterium
Lineage: Bacteria; Pseudomonadati; Bacteroidota
Also listed under: 4 other names
Description: Bacteroidetes bacterium tRNA-Pro
Rfam family: tRNA
About the family: Transfer RNA (tRNA) molecules are approximately 80 nucleotides in length. Their secondary structure includes four short double-helical elements and three loops (D, anti-codon, and T loops).
Source: RNAcentral
CGGGGUGUAGUUCAGUUGGCUAGAAUGCGUGCUUUGGGAGCAUGAGGUCGUCGGUUCGAGUCCGGCCACCCCGA